Molecule: ribosomal RNA, 1339 nt
Filed under: metagenome
Description: bacterial SSU rRNA
Rfam family: Bacterial small subunit ribosomal RNA
Source: RNAcentral
CAUAAGGUCCAGAGAUCUUGGUUUUUGGAUGAAAAGUGCAAUUGCACUGUCUGGGGAUGAGCCUGCAGUUCAUUAGCUAGUUGGUGGGGUAAAGGCCUACCAAGGCGACGAUGGAUAGCCGGCCUGAGAGGGUGUACGGCCACACUGGGACUGAGAUACGGCCCAGACUCCUACGGGAGGCAGCAGCUAGAAUCUCCCGCAAUGGGCGAAAGCCUGACGGAGCGACGCCGCGUGUAUGAUGAAGGCGGAAACGUUGUAAAGUACUUUUCUUAGGGAAGAAUAAGUGUGGGAGUGGAAAGCCCACAUGAUGACAUUAACUGAGGAAUAAGCCCCGGCUAAUUACGUGCCAGCAGCCGCGGUAAUACGUAUGGGGCGAGCGUUGUUCGGAUUUAUUGGGCGUAAAGGGCGUGUAGGCGGUUUUGUAAGCCCGGUGUAAAAGGUAUUGGCUUAACCAAUAUUUUGCGCUGGGUACUGCAAGACUAGAGUCCUGGAGAGGAAGCUGGAAUUCCUGGUGUAGGGGUGAAAUCUGUAGAUAUCAGGAAGAACACCGAUGGCGGAGGCAAGCUUCUAGCCAUGGACUGACGCUGAGGCGCGAAAGCGUGGGGAGCAAACAGGAUUAGAUACCCUGGUAGUCCACGCUGUAAACGAUGUGCACUAGGUGUGGGAGGUGUUAAACUUUCCGUGCCGUAGUUAACGCGAUAAGUGCACCGCCUGGGGAGUAUGCUCGCAAGGGUGAAACUCAAAGGAAUUGACGGGGGCCCGCACAAGCGGUGGAGUAUGUGGUUUAAUUCGAUGUACGCGAGAAACCUUACCAGGGUUUGACAUGUGCAUGAAAGUUCAAGAGAUUGGGCUGUCCUGUAUAAGGACAUGCACACAGGUGCUGCAUGGCUGUCGUCAGCUCGUGUCGUGAGAUGUUGGGUUAAGUCCCGCAACGAGCGCAACCCUCGCUGUCUGUUGCCAACAGGUUAAGCUGGGAACUCAGACGGAACUGCCGAUGACAAAUCGGAGGAAGGUGGGGACGACGUCAAGUCAUCAUGGCCCUUAUGUCCUGGGCUACACACGUACUACAAUGGUCGGUACAGAGCGUUGCAAAACGGUGACGUUAUAGCAAAUCGCUUAAAGCCGAUCUCAGUUCGGAUUGAAGUCUGAAACUCGACUUCAUGAAGUUGGAAUCGCUAGUAAUCGCGCAUCAGCAUGGCGCGGUGAAUACGUUCCCGGGCCUUGUACACACCGCCCGUCACACCACCCGAGUUGGGGGUACCCGAAGUCGCUAGUCUAACCGCAAGGGGGACGGUGCCGAAGGUAUGCCUGGUGAGGGGGGUGAAGUCGUAACAAGGUA